AGAGUUUGAUCCUGGCUCAGAUUGAACGCUGGCGGCAUGCCUUACACAUGCAAGUCGAACGGGCUUUGGGGCUUGCUCCAAAGUUAGUGGCGAACGGGUGAGUAAUAUAUCGGAACGUACCCUUGAGUGGGGGAUAACAUAGCGAAAGUUAUGCUAAUACCGCAUACGAUCUAAGGAUGAAAGUGGGGGACCGCAAGGCCUCACGCUCCUGGAGCGGCCGAUAUCUGAUUAGCUAGUUGGUGAGGUAAAGGCUCACCAAGGCUUCGAUCAGUAGCUGGUCUGAGAGGACGAUCAGCCACACUGGGACUGAGACACGGCCCAGACUCCUACGGGAG
This 335-nucleotide ribosomal RNA is filed under the name uncultured bacterium. RNAcentral's name for it is "bacterial SSU rRNA". It matches the Rfam family "Bacterial small subunit ribosomal RNA", at positions 8 to 347 of the family's 1533-position model. The record is from RNAcentral.